ACACCCUCCAUGGCCAGAGGCCAAGGAAAAGAAGCACCCUAAGAUUGUUCAAGUGGUGCCCACUCUGGCCUGAAUUCCCAUUGGGAAAAAUACCUCGAAAAUGAGCAUUUCUGCAGGCAUGUUUGGAAAAGCAGGCAGUGAAGUACGCAGUCCAAGUGGCUCUCAAUCUGGAUGAACCUCAUUAAAAAGCUGACACUCAGCUAUGACUAAGAGUAAAUGCAACAGAUAUUUCAAGCAGCUCGUCACUGAUGCAGUUCAUAACCCUCCCAGCUGGAGUCAGGCCCCAGCAGCCUCCCGGUCCCCAAACACCCUGCACUCGGAGGGUCGGGGCAGCCCCGGAGCUUCUCCUAACCCACUGGGGGUAGGAUAUGUAAACAAGUCAUUAGGGAGGCAGGCCAUCGGCAAAGACGGCCGGCAAUAGCAGAGGCUGCUGAACCUCGGUCACCGAGAGGAAGGUGGAUGACCCGGGCGUGGGGGUGAUUACCCAGACCAAGGCGCGUCCCACGGGGCCCUGCUACUUCGCUUUUAAACAAGCCUCAGGGAGGAAACCGGGAGCCCGGGCCAAGGGAGGAAAAUGGCCACUUUCUGCUAAACAGUCUCAAGGCUAGAUAGUAUUCCAAAAAAAGCGCUGGUCCGGAGGUGCAAAGGGUAGGGCACAUCUGCGGAGGAAACAGUCACCUUAAUUACCACGUCUAGAGAAAGUGCGAUUUCAUUACAGCCUCCAAAACUACCGCCCAAAGAAGGAAACCAGAGAAGUGUUUUCAAUUUGAAAGAGGCUGGAAAGAAGCGGGUAAGACACCGACUCUCCCCACCCUCCCGGCAACUUUGGACCACAAGGCGCUUUCCUGCCUCAAAGACUAUUACCAAACACAACUCGAAAAUCCAACCCCGCUUUCAAACCUGUAGCCGUUAUUUAAACGGUAAAACACCCCACUUUAGUUUCCGGGGGAUGCGGCCCAAAUCAGUCCUUAAAAACACACAGAGAGCGCCUCUGGCAGCAGCCGCCCACGCCCCCGGCCCUGCGCACCGGGCUUGCUCCGGGAGGGGCGCGUGACGCCACCGCGGGGCAGCCGAGAGGGGACCGCGGGCUCCGGGCAGGGCAGGCGCUCCCGCAGCUCCAGCUAUAACACAAGGGAGAGAAAGCAACGCUUUGGUUCCAGAAACUUCCAUCGUCAAGGCCAGUUCUGGCCAGACGCACAGCCAAAGAGCCCCCCUAGUCUAGCGGAUGAACCGUUCGCGAGUGGCACCCCCUAAAACCUUGGCCCCAUCUCCCAAGAUGCCUCUUUACUGCGCAAUCCAGAAAGCACCCGGACCGCCGCCACCCACCAGCGGCGGCGAAUAACUUGGUGAGAAAACUGAGGCCCAACCAGCUUGAAGUGUCAUCCAAGGUCACUCCGCAGAACUCAUGCAGGCGCUCGCUCUCUCCCCCACACCUGGAAGGAUGGGUUGUCAAGGCAACUUCUUGAAGGCACCAGCAUCCACAGUGCCAUCGGUCCCCAAGGACCCACUGAAGCCGGCUGUGGAGGAAGGAGGCCGUCCCUCGGGUUGGCUCUGGAGAGACAUGAAGAGUCUAGUCCUCUGGAAUAUCCAAUCCCAAGCUAAGACCCUCCCUCCUGGACCCAUCUUAGUGGGAGGCCAAAUCUUCCGCAAGACGCGAAGCUGAAACAUCGGACCCAGCCCUGGUGC
RNAcentral lists this long non-coding RNA (1686 nucleotides) under Homo sapiens (human). Its description in RNAcentral is "HSALNT0346256". Lineage: Eukaryota; Metazoa; Chordata; Mammalia; Primates; Hominidae. The record is from RNAcentral.